RNAcentral lists this transfer RNA (81 nucleotides) under Photobacterium profundum SS9. It matches the Rfam family "tRNA". From Rfam's summary of the family: Transfer RNA (tRNA) molecules are approximately 80 nucleotides in length. Their secondary structure includes four short double-helical elements and three loops (D, anti-codon, and T loops). Lineage: Bacteria; Pseudomonadati; Pseudomonadota; Gammaproteobacteria; Vibrionales; Vibrionaceae. The record is from Rfam by way of RNAcentral.
GCCCUGGUGGUGGAAUUGGUAGACACAAGGGAUUUAAAAUCCCUCGGCGUUCGCGCUGUGCCGGUUCAAGUCCGGCCCGCA